This is a long non-coding RNA of Oncorhynchus tshawytscha (Chinook salmon), 2887 nucleotides long. Lineage: Eukaryota; Metazoa; Chordata; Actinopteri; Salmoniformes; Salmonidae. The record is from Ensembl.
CAGGAGUCCUCUAGCUAUAGAAUCACCCCUGGAGAUAACAGGAGAUAUCAGGAGUCCUCUAGCUAUAGAAUCACCCCUGGAGAUAACAGGAGUCCUCUAGCUAUAGAAUCACCCCUGGAGAUAACAAGAGAUAUCAGGAGUCCUUUAGCUAUAGAAUCACCCCUGGAGAUAACAGGAGAUAUCAGGAGUCCUCUAGCUAUAGAAUCACCCCUGGAGAUAACAGGAGUCCUCUAGCUAUAGAAUCACCCCUGGAGAUAUCAGGAGAUAACAGGAGUCCUCUAGCUAUAGCAUCACCCCUGCAGAUAACAGGAGUCCUCUAGCUAUAGAAUCACCCCUGGAGAUAACAGGAGUCCUCUAGCUAUAGAAUCACCCCUGGAGAUAACAGGAGUCCUUUAGUUAUAGAAUCACCCCUGGAAAUAACAGGAGUCCUCUAGCUAUAGAAUCACCCCUGGAGAUAACAAGAGAUAACAGGAGUCCUCUAGCUAUAGAAUCACCCCUGGAGAUAACAGGAGUCCUCUAGCUAUAGAAUCACCCCUGGAGAUAACAGGAGUCCUUUAGUUGUAGAAUAACCCCUGGAGAUAAAAGGAGUCCUCUAGCUAUAGAAUCACCCCUGAAGAUAACAGGAUUCCUCUAGCUAUAUAAUCACCCCUGAAGAUAACAGGAGUCCUUUAGUUAUAGAAUCACCCCUGGAGAUAAAAGGAGAUAACAGGAGUCCUCUAGCUAUAGAAUCACCCCUGGAGAUAACAGGAGAUAACAGGAGUCCCUUAGCUAUAGCAUCACCCCUGCAGAAAACAGGAGUCCUCUAGCUAUAGAAUCACCCCUGGAGAUAACAGGAGUCCUCUAGCUAUAGAAUCACCCCUGGAGAUAACAAGAGAUAACAGGAGUCCUCUAGCUAUAGAAUCACCCCUAGAGAUAACAGGAGUCCUCUAGCUAUAGAAUCACCCCUGGAGAUAACAGGAGUCCUUUAGUUAUAGAAUCACCCCUGGAGAUAAAAGGAGUCCUCUAGCUAUAGAAUCACCCCUGAAGAUAACAGGAUUCCUCUAGCUAUAGAAUCACCCCUGGAGAUAACAGGAGUCCUCUAGCUAUAGAAUCACCCCUGGAGAUAACAGGAGUCCUCUAGCUAUAGAUUCACCCCUGGAGAAAACAGGAGUCCUCUAGCUAUAGAAUCACCCCUGGAGAUAUCAGGAGAUAACAGGAGUCCUCUAGCUAUAGCAUCACCCCUGCAGAUAACAGGAGUCCUCUAGCUAUAUAAUCACCCCUGCAGAUAACAGGAGUCCUCUAGCUAUAGAAUCACCCCUGGAGAUAACAGGAGUCCUCUAGCUAUAGAAUCACCCCUGGAGAUAACAGGAGUCCUCUAGCUAUAGAAUCACCCCUGGAGAUAACAGGAGUCCUCUAGCUAUAGAAUCACCCCUGGAGAUAACAGGAGAUAUCAGGAGUCCUCUAGCUAUAGAAUCACCCCUGGAGAUAACAAGAGAUAUCAGGAGUCCUCUAGCUAUAGAAUCACCCCUGGAGAUAACAGGAGUCCUCUAGCUAUAGAAUCACCCCUGGAGAUAACAGGAUUCCUCUAGCUAUAGAAUCACCCCUGGAGAUAACAGGAGUCUAGCUAGAGAAUCACCCCUGGAGAUAACAGGAGUCCUCUAGCUAUAGAAUCACCCCUGAAGAUAACAGGAAUCCUCUAGCUAUAGAAUCACCCCUGGAGAUAUCAGGAGUCCUCUAGCUAUAGAUCCACCCCUGGAGAUAACAGGAGUCCUCUAGCUAUAGAAUCACCCCUGGAGAUAACAGGAGUCUUCUAGCUAUAGAUUCACCCCUGGAGAUAACAGGAGUCCUCUAGCUAUAGAAUCACCCCUGGAGAUAACAGGAGUCCUCUAGCUAUAGAAUCACCCCUGGAGAUAACAGGAGAUAACAGGAGUCCUCUAGCUAUAGAAUCACCCCUGGAGAUAACAGGAGAUAUCAGGAGUCCUCUAGCUAUAGAAUCACCCCUGGAGAUAACAGGAGUCCUCUAGCUAUAGAAUCACCCCUGGAGAUAACAGGAUUCCUCUAGCUGUAGAAUCACCCCAGGAGAUAACAGGACUCUAGCUAGAGAAUCACCCCUGGAGAUAACAGGAGUCCUCUAGCUAUAGAAUCACCCUGGAGAUAACAGGAGAUAUCAGGAGUCCUCUAGCUAUAGAAUCACCCCUGCAGAUAACAGGAGUCCUCUAGCUAUAGAAUCACCCCUGCAGAUAACAGGAGUCCUCUAGCUAUAGAAUCACCCCUGGAAAUAACAGGAGUCCUCUAGCUAAAUAAUCACCCCUGGAGAUAACAAGAGAUAUCAGGAGUCCUCUAGCUAUAGAAUCACCCCUGGAGAUAACAGGAGAUAGCAGGAGUCCUCUAGCUAUAGAAUCACCCCUGGAGAUAACAGGAGUCCUUUAGUUAUAGAAUCACCCCUGGAAAUAACAGGAGUCCUCUAGCUAUAGAAUCACCCCUGGAGAUAACAAGAGAUAUCAGGAGUCCUCUAGCUAUAGAAUCACCCCUGGAGAUAACAGGAGAUAUCAGGAGUCCUCUAGCUAUAGAAUCACCCCUGGAGAUAACAGGAGUCCUUUAGUUAUAGAAUCACCCCUGGAGAUAAAAGGAGUCCUCUAGCUAUAGAAUCACCCCUGAAGAUAACAGGAUUCCUCUAGCUAUAGAAUCACCCCUGGAGAUAUCAGGAGUCCUCUAGCUAUAGAUCCACCCCUGGAGAUAACAGGAGUCUUCUAGCUAUAGAUUCACCCCUGGAGAUAACAGGAGUCCUCUAGCUAUAGAAUCACCCCUGGAGAUAUCAGGAGUCCUCUAGCUAUAGAAUCACCCCUGGAGAUAACAGGAGUCCUCUAGCUAUAGAAUCACCCCUGGAGAUAACAGGAGUCCUCUAGCU